Molecule: long non-coding RNA, 265 nt
Organism: Myotis lucifugus (little brown bat)
Lineage: Eukaryota; Metazoa; Chordata; Mammalia; Chiroptera; Vespertilionidae
Exons: 2
Source: RefSeq, a predicted model, not a curated record
CAAAAUGAACAAGUGUUCUGAAGGGCAAAGGAGUGAGGCUGUUCUGGGCCUGCCAAGGGCCUGGACCCUUUUCCACCCCACUGUCCGAGGAGCGGGUGGGGAAAGCCCAGCAUCUUCCUCUGUUCCUCUUCCUUCACAUCACUGGUCACAGCUGGCUGUGUUCCCCUGUGAUGGAGUUCUGACUUGGCUCAAACAAUAGUUCAUUCAAGUGGACACUUUCUGGGCUGUCAUGGAAAACGUCAAUAAAAAACCUGGUUCAUCUGAA